AACGUACGCUGGCGGCACGCCUAACACAUGCAAGUCGAACGAAGUAGCAAUACUUAGUGGCAGACGGGUGAGUAACAUGUAGGUAUCUGCCCUUUGGCCUGGAAUAACACGAGGAAACUUGUGCUAAUACCGGAUAAGUCUUUACGGAGAAAGCUUUAUGCACCAUUGGAUGAGCCUGCACUUGAUUAGUUUGUUGGUGGGGUAAUGGCCUACCAAGACUGUGAUCAAUAGCUGAUUUGAGAGGAUGAUCAGCCACAUUGGGACUGAGACACGGCCCAAACUCCUACGGGAGGCAGCAGUGGGGAAUCUUGCACAAUGGAGGAAACUCUGAUGCAGCGAUGCCGCGUGAGUGAAGAAGGCCCUUGGGUUGUAAAGCUCUUUCGUCGGGGAAGAAAAUGACUGUACCCGAAUAAGAAGGUCCGGCUAACUUCGUGCCAGCAGCCGCGGUAAUACGAAGGGACCUAGCGUAGUUCGGAAUUACUGGGCUUAAAGAGUUCGUAGGUGGUUGAAAAAGUUAGUGGUGAAAUCCCAGAGCUUAACUCUGGAACUGCCAUUAAAACUUUUCAGCUAGAGUAUGAUAGAGGAAAGCAGAAUUUCUAGUGUAGAGGUGAAAUUCGUAGAUAUUAGAAAGAAUACCAAUUGCGAAGGCAGCUUUCUGGAUCAUUACUGACACUGAGGAACGAAAGCAUGGGUAGCGAAGAGGAUUAGAUACCCUCGUAGUCCAUGCCGUAAACGAUGUGUGUUAGACGUUGGAAAUUUAUUUUCAGUGUCGCAGGGAAACCGAUAAACACACCGCCUGGGGAGUACGACCGCAAGGUUAAAACUCAAAUGAAUUGACGGGGACCCGCACAAGUAGUGGAGCAUGUGGUUUAAUUCGAAGAUACGCGCAGAACCUUACCAACACUUGACAUGUUCGUCGCGACUCUAAGAGAUUAGAGUUUUCGGUUCGGCCGGACGAAACACAGGUGCUGCAUGGCUGUCGUCAGCUCGUGUCGUGAGAUGUUGGGUUAAGUCCCGCAACGAGCGCAACCCUCACUUUUAGUUGCCAUCAUUAAGUUGGGCACUCUGAAAGAACUGCCAGUAAUAAGCUGGAGGAAGGUGGGGAUGACGUCAAGUCCUCAUGGCCCUUACGUGUUGGGCUACACACGUGCUACAAUGGUAUCUACAACAGGAAGCAAGACUGCGAAGUUAAGCAAAUCCCUAAAAGAUACCUCAGUUCGGAUUGCACUCUGCAACUCGAGUGCAUGAAGCUGGAAUUACUAGUAAUCGUGGAUCAGCGUGCCACGGUGAAUGCGUUCCCGGGUCU
Molecule: ribosomal RNA, 1306 nt
Filed under: uncultured bacterium
Lineage: Bacteria
Description: bacterial SSU rRNA
Rfam family: Bacterial small subunit ribosomal RNA
Source: RNAcentral